UACGUAGGGGGCGAGCGUUGUCCGAAUUUACUGGGCGUAAAGCGCGCGUAGGCGGGCUAUUAAGUUGGGGGUGAAAAUCCGAGGCUCAACCUCGGACCUGCCUCCAAAACUGGUAGUCUUGAGGUAUGGAGAGGGAAGUGGAAUUCCUGGUGUAGCGGUGAAAUGCGUAGAGAUCAGGAGGAACACCCGUGGCGAAGGCGGCUUCCUGGCCAUAUCCUGACGCUGAGGUGCGAAAGCUAGGGGAG
This 245-nucleotide ribosomal RNA is filed under the name uncultured bacterium. Its description in RNAcentral is "partial 16S ribosomal RNA". It matches the Rfam family "Bacterial small subunit ribosomal RNA", at positions 524 to 768 of the family's 1533-position model. The record is from RNAcentral.